Molecule: ribosomal RNA, 450 nt
Filed under: uncultured bacterium
Lineage: Bacteria
Description: bacterial SSU rRNA
Rfam family: Bacterial small subunit ribosomal RNA
Source: RNAcentral
AACGAACGCUGGCGGCAGGCCUAACACAUGCAAGUCGAGCGCACCUUCGGGUGAGCGGCGGACGGGUUAGUAACGCGUGGGAACGUGCCCAGAUCUAAGGAAUAGCCACUGGAAACGGUGAGUAAUACCUUAUACGCCCUUCGGGGGAAAGAUUUAUCGGAUUUGGAUCGGCCCGCGUUAGAUUAGGUAGUUGGUGGGGUAAUGGCCUACCAAGCCUACGAUCUAUAGCUGGUUUUAGAGGAUGAUCAGCAACACUGGGACUGAGACACGGCCCAGACUCCUACGGGAGGCAGCAGUGGGGAAUCUUAGACAAUGGGGGAAACCCUGAUCUAGCCAUGCCGCGUGAGUGACGAAGGCCCUAGGGUCGUAAAGCUCUUUCGCCAGGGAUGAUAAUGACAGUACCUGGUAAAGAAACCCCGGCUAACUCCGUGCCAGCCGCCGCCGUAAAAC